This 248-nucleotide unclassified non-coding RNA is filed under the name Hevea brasiliensis (rubber tree). The record is from RNAcentral. Lineage: Eukaryota; Viridiplantae; Streptophyta; Magnoliopsida; Malpighiales; Euphorbiaceae.
GAUCAGUUCAUUGAGGAAGCUGAGAGAAGCUUGCAUGAUGCUAUUAUGAUUGUUAGAAGAGCUGUGAAAAACUCUACGGUUGUUCCUGGAGGUGGUGCAAUAGAUAUGGAAAUAAGCCGUUUCUUGAGGCACCAUGCUCGAACAAUUCAAGGGAAAUCUCAGCUCUUCAUAAACUCUUAUGCAAAAGCUCUUGAGAUUAUCCCCCGUCAGCUAUGUGACAAUGCUGGUUUUGAUGCAACUGAUGUGCU